This 983-nucleotide long non-coding RNA is filed under the name Cyanistes caeruleus (blue tit). RNAcentral describes it as "lncRNA (ENSCCEG00000000832.1)". The record is from RNAcentral. Lineage: Eukaryota; Metazoa; Chordata; Aves; Passeriformes; Paridae.
GUGAGGGGAACAUGUAGCACCAUUCCUCAGAUAUAAAUAAGACAGGGUGGAAGCUGUGAGGAGCAGGAGAUGUGAAGAGAUAAGAGGACUCAUGUGGACUCAUAUGUGGGAACAUAUGACAGGAGAAACAAGCUUAAAGAAGUGAGGAGAUGCAGCAAGGAAAACUGGGAGAAAGAACAUGGCAGAAACACAAAAGAGAACACCAGAGGACAACUGUGAAGAGGCAGAGUUUUGGAGAAAAUUAAGAAGGAAGCAGAGAGAUACAGUGGAAAGGACACUGCUGGGCUCACAGCUGGAGGCACAGUUCUGCAAGGAGUUCCAUGACAUGAAGGCAAAUUCUUCUGAAAGAACUGGAGUCAUGGAUGACCCAUGCCAUAGCAGGGACACCCCUGAGUGGACUACAGCACAUGAAGUAACACAUACCAGUAUGCAGAAGCAAAGAAUAGAAGGUAAAACUUUGAGAAGAAUGAAAGUGAACAUGGAGUAUAUUUGCCAUUUUCAAAAGUGAGGUGUCUAUAACAGCACAGACUGUAAGGAAGAGGAAAAAGUAACUUUUUAAAAAUAUAUUUUAAGAACACUGUAAGAUUUUUAUUAAACAUUUAAUGACUAUUGAUUUUUGAAAUUACAAUAUCUGUCUAACAAGAACAGAGGGUUAAAAUGUGUUGUGACACUGAAUUUUGUGACUUUUGAAUUCCACAAGAAGCUGCUCAAGCACAUAUAUAGACAUAACAAUUUUAUAGAUAUAUAGACAUGACAAUUUUAUAGCUACUUCUGCUCAACACCUGGUAAACCAUACCUGUUUAUUUGCAUGUGAUCUUCUGAACUGUCAUAUCCUUCAUUUAGUGUAAUCUGUCUUAUCAUAAGAUAAAUUAUAUUCCAUGGAACAAUAUUAGCAUACAAUUCAUUUUCAAUAUUUACAACUGAAUAAUAUUCCCCAAGUUAAUUUUUCCCAAAUUAUUACCCAAAAUAUGUUAAUAUGUAUU